CCAGCCCUGAAAAUUCCAGCUCCUGCAGCCCUUGCUCCCAAUCCACGGCCUUCUGGCCACACCCUCUGUAGGGCUCCAGAACUGGCUCCUGCUUUUUCCCAGGGCUGAGCUAUUCCCUGGACUCUGGGGCCCACUCCAGAGAGCGUGGGCCAGCCCGAGGAGGCAAGCCCGGAGGAGCAGCCAGAGGAGGCGAGUGCUGAGGAGGAGCGGCUGGAGGACCAGGAGGAGGAGGAGGCG
RNAcentral lists this small RNA (237 nucleotides) under Pan troglodytes (chimpanzee). Its description in RNAcentral is "processed transcript". The record is from RNAcentral. Lineage: Eukaryota; Metazoa; Chordata; Mammalia; Primates; Hominidae.